Molecule: long non-coding RNA, 167 nt
Organism: Mastomys coucha (southern multimammate mouse)
Lineage: Eukaryota; Metazoa; Chordata; Mammalia; Rodentia; Muridae
Exons: 3
Source: RefSeq, a predicted model, not a curated record
UGGUGACAGAGUAAGAUGGAUCUCUGAAAACUAGGAAAAAGCUUGCAAGAAAAUGAAUCUAUUUAGCAGAUAUCUUUUGCUGGCAAGAAAGAAAUGGAAACAACAGGAACAACUGAAUCAACAUGACUCUUUUCAUGCAUUACAAUAAUUCUACAGUCAUUUUGAUU